RNAcentral lists this ribosomal RNA (834 nucleotides) under uncultured Planctomycetota bacterium. RNAcentral's name for it is "bacterial SSU rRNA". It matches the Rfam family "Bacterial small subunit ribosomal RNA", at positions 46 to 832 of the family's 1533-position model. The record is from RNAcentral. Lineage: Bacteria; Pseudomonadati; Planctomycetota.
GGAUUAGGCAUGCAAGUCGAACGAGGGAAUAUUCUUCGGAAUAUAAAUCGAGUGGCGAAAGGGUGAGUAAUGGAUUGAUAACCUGCCUUUGAGAUGGGAAUAACAACGCCUUGAGUAAUCAAGGCUACCGAAAGGGUUGCUAAUACCCAAUAAUACCAUGGAUAUUUAGGUGUCUAUGGUCAAAUGUUCGGAGCCGUAAGGUUCCAGUCGCUCAGAGAGGGGUCAAUUUCCUAUCAGCUUGUUGGUGGGGUAAAGGCCUACCAAGGCGAAGACGGGUAGCCGGCUUGAGAGGGUGGUCGGCCACACUGGGACUGAGACACUGCCCAGACUCCUACGGGAGGCUGCAGUCGAGAAUCUUUCGCAAUGCCCGAAAGGGUGACGAAGCGACGCCGCGUGUGGGAAGAAGGCUCUAGGGUUGUAAACCACUGUCAGGAGUUAAGAAAUGUAGAGGCGUUAAUAGCGCCUUUAUUUGACGAAGGCUCCAGAGGAAGCCACGGCUAACUCUGUGCCAGCAGCCGCGGUAAUACAGAGGUGGCAAGCGUUGUUCGGAAUUAUUGGGCGUAAAGAGCACGUAGGCGGUCCUGCAAGUCUGUUGUGAAAUCCUUCCGCUUAACGGGAGAACGGCAGCUGAUACUACAGGACUAGAGUACGGGAGGGGAGAGUGGAACUUCUGGUGGAGCGGUGAAAUGCGUAGAUAUCAGAAGGAACGCCGGCGGCGAAAGCGACUCUCUGGCCCGAAACUGACGCUGAGUGUGCGAAAGCUAGGGGAGCAAACGGGAUUAGAUACCCCGGUAGUCCUAGCCGUAAACGAUGGGCACUAAGUAGAGGGGUUUU